CAGCAGUAGCCGCGGUAAUACGAAGGGUGCAAGCGUUAAUCGGAAUUACUGGGCGUAAAGCGUGCGUAGGCGGUGAGUUAAGUCUGCUGUGAAAUCCCCGGGCUCAACCUGGGAAUGGCAGUGGGUACUGGCUCGCUAGAGUGUGUCAGAGGAUGGUGGAAUUCCCGGUGUAGCGGUGAAAUGCGUAGAGAUCGGGAGGAACAUCAGUGGCGAAGGCGGCCAUCUGGGACAACACUGACGCUGAGGCACGAAAGCGUGGGGAGCAAACAGGAUUAGAUACCCGCGUAGUCCCUGUCUCUUAUAC
This 304-nucleotide ribosomal RNA is filed under the name uncultured bacterium. RNAcentral describes it as "partial 16S ribosomal RNA". It matches the Rfam family "Bacterial small subunit ribosomal RNA", at positions 506 to 807 of the family's 1533-position model. The record is from RNAcentral.